GCUGGCAACCCGGCGCCAAGACGUGCGCGCAAGGGCGGGCGCCCGCGGGCGAGCAGCGUGACGCAGCGACGGCCCGCCCGGGCUUCCGGGGCAUCACCCGGUCGGCGCGGUCGCGGCGCGCCGAGGGCCCGACGCCUGGCGGAGAAUCAGGGUUCGACUCCGGAGAGCGGGCCUGAGAGACGGCCCGCACAUCCAAGGACGGCAGCAGGCGCGGAACUUGCCCAAUGCGCGCGCGCGAGGCAGCGACGGGGAGUGCGCGAGCGAGGCGGGCCCACAGCCCCCGCCGCGGAGCCGAGGGCAAGGUCUGGUGCCAGCAGCCGCGGUAAUUCCAGCUCGGCGGGCGUCGCGUGGCGCUGCUGCAGUUAAAACGCCCGUAGUUGGCCCCCCGCCGCCACGAGGAAACGGGAGCGCUCCAGGCAGGCCCGUUGGACCCGCCGCGUGGGACCGCGCAGCGGGCGCGGCGCGCCGCGGCAGCCCCGAGGAGAG
This 486-nucleotide ribosomal RNA is filed under the name Giardia duodenalis. Its description in RNAcentral is "SSU rRNA". The stretch from base 1 to 345 matches the Rfam family "Microsporidia small subunit ribosomal RNA", at positions 129 to 427 of the family's 1311-position model. Lineage: Eukaryota; Fornicata; Diplomonadida; Hexamitidae. The record is from RNAcentral.